CAUAAAACACAUAUUUUGUAAAUCACUUAUAUAAUUCUAAUUCCUAUUACAAAUAAAAAUUGUAUAUAAAUAUUUUAAGUUUGGUUUGAAAAAAGUAUAUACUUCUGAUAAGGAAUACACAACUCAUAAUAUCAAAUGUGAAAUCUAUGUAAAAAAGUAUACUCAGUUAAACUAAAUCAAGAUGAUAGUGGUAAAAGUCUUUAACUCUUAAAUAUCACUCCGUAUCUAUUUAUUUUAAGAGUGGCUUUUCAGUUUCUUAUUAGAGGAUGCAAACAUUUUAAAACGCCAAUUUCUGCCACCAGACACCAACCCAUUAUUGUUUAAACAAAUUUCCACCAUAAUUCAUAAGCAUUUUUUUCUUGAAAUUACAUAUAAUACUACCUAUAAGUUAUAAUUAAUACCAAUAUUUUAUAAACAGAGUUGGGUAACAUUUUAUAAAAUGAUUAUUCAGAUGAAAAUGUCUUAGAAUAAUUGUAAAAACUGAUUCAAAAUAAAAAUUGCAAAAAAAAAAAAAUGAAAAAAUAAUUUUCAUUUAUUUUAUUUGGUUAAACAUUGGUUAAUGAUAUACAUUAAAAUACAAACAUAUUAAAAACAAUACUUAGCCUUGUAAUUUUAAGUUAUAC
This is a non-coding RNA of Cinara cedri, 623 nucleotides long. NCBI's taxonomy places the organism in Eukaryota, Metazoa, Arthropoda, Insecta, Hemiptera, Aphididae. The record is from the annotation of a GenBank genome assembly.